AAAGGUCGGCGGGUGCUAUAAUGCAGUCGACGCGUUGGCCCAAUUGAUUGAUGGUGCUUGCACCUGAUUGAUUUUGGUCGCCAACGAGUGGCGGACGGGUGAGUAACACGUAGGUAACCUGCCCAGAAGCGGGGGACAACAUUUGGAAACAGAUGCUAAUACCGCAUAACAACGUUGUUCGCAUGAACAACGCUUAAAAGAUGGCUUCUCGCUAUCACUUCUGGAUGGACCUGCGGUGCAUUAGCUUGUUGGUGGGGUAACGGCCUACCAAGGCGAUGAUGCAUAGCCGAGUUGAGAGACUGAUCGGCCACAAUGGGACUGAGACACGGCCCAUACUCCUACGGGAGGCAGCAGUAGGGAAUCUUCCACAAUGGGCGCAAGCCUGAUGGAGCAACACCGCGUGAGUGAAGAAGGGUUUCGGCUCGUAAAGCUCUGUUGUUAAAGAAGAACACGUAUGAGAGUAACUGUUCAUACGUUGACGGUAUUUAACCAGAAAGUCACGGCUAACUACGUGCCAGCAGCCGCGGUAAUACGUAGGUGGCAAGCGUUAUCCGGAUUUAUUGGGCGUAAAGAGAGUGCAGGCGGUUUUCUAAGUCUGAUGUGAAAGCCUUCGGCUUAACCGGAGAAGUGCAUCGGAAACUGGAUAACUUGAGUGCAGAAGAGGGUAGUGGAACUCCAUGUGUAGCGGUGGAAUGCGUAGAUAUAUGGAAGAACACCAGUGGCGAAGGCGGCUACCUGGUCUGCAACUGACGCUGAGACUCGAAAGCAUGGGUAGCGAACAGGAUUAGAUACCCUGGUAGUCCAUGCCGUACACGAUGAGUGCUAUGUGUUGGAGGGUUUCCGCCCUUCAGUGCCGGAGCUAACGCAUUAAGCACUCCGCCUGGGGAGUACGACCGCAAGGUUGAAACUCAAAGGAAUUGACGGGGGCCCGCACAAGCGGUGGAGCAUGUGGUUUAAUUCGAAGCUACGCGAAGAACCUUACCAGGUCUUGACAUCUUGCGCCACCCUAGAGAUAGGGCGUUUCCUUCGGGAACGCAAUGACAGGUGGUGCAUGUCGUCGUCAGCUCGUGUCGUGAGAUGUUGGGUAAGUCCCGCACGAGCGCACCGUGUUACUAGUGCAGCAUUAGUUGGCAACUCUAGUGGAGACUGCGGUGACAAUGAGAAGUGGGUACGACGUCGAUCAUAGUGCCCUUAUAGACUGGGUCCUACCCACGUGUCCUCUACAAUUGA
This 1230-nucleotide ribosomal RNA is filed under the name Limosilactobacillus fermentum. Its description in RNAcentral is "bacterial SSU rRNA". It matches the Rfam family "Bacterial small subunit ribosomal RNA", at positions 31 to 1234 of the family's 1533-position model. The record is from RNAcentral. Lineage: Bacteria; Bacillati; Bacillota; Bacilli; Lactobacillales; Lactobacillaceae.